Molecule: ribosomal RNA, 301 nt
Filed under: uncultured bacterium
Lineage: Bacteria
Description: partial 16S ribosomal RNA
Rfam family: Bacterial small subunit ribosomal RNA
Source: RNAcentral
CAGCAGCCGCGGGAAUACGGAGGAUCCAAGCGUUAUCCGGAAUCAUUGGGUUUAAAGGGUCCGUAGGCGGUAUUGUAAGUCAGUGGUGAAAGCCCAUCGCUCAACGGUGGAACGGCCAUUGAUACUGCAGGACUUGAAUUAUUGGGAAGUAACUAGAAUAUGUAGUGUAGCGGUGAAAUGCUUAGAGAUUACAUGGAAUACCAAUUGCGAAGGCAGGUUACUACCAAUUGAUUGACGCUGAUGGACGAAAGCGUGGGUAGCGAACAGGAUUAGAUACCCCCGUAGUCCCUGUCUCUUAUAC